Long non-coding RNA from Drosophila teissieri, 752 nucleotides. RefSeq lists it as uncharacterized. NCBI's taxonomy places the organism in Eukaryota, Metazoa, Arthropoda, Insecta, Diptera, Drosophilidae. The record is from RefSeq and is a predicted model, not a curated record. The transcript is spliced from 4 exons.
AACCCCAGUUGAACUUCGAACCCUUGGUGUAACAGAGGAGUAAAAGAGGACAAAUUCCAUUAACUCGCAGAUGUUCAGCGUUUUUCUCUUGAAAUGACAACAAGAAAUAUGAGCUACAUGAAACCUACUAUGUUUUUAUCUACAAGGAGAUUUUUCAUGUCCAGGACUUCGCUGCAUAUGUUUAUUAACAAUUGAUGGUGUAUAUAUUUUUUAUCAGUGAUUAUUGCGAACAAAGCCCUUGUUAAUUUUAUGUUUAUUAUUUGUGUGGCUGCCACAUAAAUUUAUCAGAAAGUUGACCUCUCACCUCGGCGCCGCAAUGUGUGCAACAAGUUUUUGCAUUCGCACGCGCGGUUGAGGCUUGUGAUGCGAUCCCAUAAAUUAAACUGGCUAAAACCGGAGAAAAGGAAGGCAAACGUCACCGAAACAGCAAAAAAGAAGCGCAUGGCCAGAGCAAACUCAGUCCGCAGAAGCCGCAAACAUGCAAACCAAAAAAAAAGGGGGGGCAACAUGGUCGUGGGAAAGGGGGAUACCGGAUGCCGGGGGGAGAAUGCGGCAACAACUAAGCACGUGUCAAGAGUGCGGCCCAAGUUUUAAUUUGCCGGAGGCAUCCACUAACAUCGCAUGCCCCGAAUCGCCACUGGAAGAACUGCAAUGCAUUUAUAUAUUUUAUAUUUUUUAGACAUAAUUGUUAAAGUUUUGACAACUUACAAAUAACAUAGGCAGAAAUGCAGCUUGUUAACUGAUUCACAAUC